GGAGAAUGAGUCAUGAAGGUAGAAUUUAAGUUAAGGGUUUUGAGGUAAGAUUCUCCUGGGAUCUGGAAAUGUUCUACAUCCAGUAAAAGAUGGCUGUGGAAGCAGACACUGGAGCUAUGUAGCCACAAACAAAACAAUAGCAUCACCAAAAUCUGGAGGAGUCCAGGGACAGCUUUCCCCUGGAGCUUUGAAAGAACUCAGACCUGCCAAAACCCUGCUUGUGGUUUCAGGCCGCCAGAACUGUAGGGUAGUGCAUUUCCAUUGUUUCAGGGCACCACAUAUGUGACAUUCCAAGGCCAGGAAACAACCUGAACAGUAGAUGACUCUGUCUCAAAUAGGCAGAUAGAUAAAUAUUUCAGUAUAAUUACUGAGUUACUAAGCAUGUAUCACAUUAGAAGUUGAUUGAGAUUUUCUCCGUUUAAUAUUUAUUAUAUUUGCAUAUUUCCAAGCAUAGUUUUCUGGACUGAGUGCUCAGGAAUGCCCAGACUUUAUUCUCAUUAUUGCACAUUGUUCCUGGCUGGAGUAAGAAUAAUAGAACUAAAUCCAAACACAAAGUUCCUGUUGGCCUGGCCUGGGAAACAGACAGACGUGGCAGACAUAGUUUCUUAUCUGGGCAGCUGUCUCCCUAAAACUGGUUCACUUGCCAUCUUCUAUUUGUAGGAGAGACUUGCCUAUAAGCAAUAAAGAAGUCGCCAUACUUAUAUUAAUAUCUUUUGUUUCUUUGGACCACUAGAGUAUUAGAGAAAAAAAUGUUUUAAGUGAUUUUAUUGAUUUUAAAUACAGAUAAGUAAUACUCUUUGUUCUUGAGAUCAUAAAGAAUUAAUAUUUUGGAAGUGCUGGUGUCAAAACUCAGAACACAUAGCGUGUGUGUGUGUGUGUGUGUGUGUGUGUGUGUGUGUGUGUGUGUGUGUGUGUGUGUGGCUAUGAAGCAUCUACUUUAUAGUCAACUCAAUCUGAACAGGCCUGAGGAUAAACUAUUGGUUCUUCCCACAUAUUCUCUUGAAUAUCCAAAAUGGGUAAUUAAUCGUGAGCUCUGCUUUGAAAUGCCUAACCUUCUUAUAACCUGAUACAAGGCAGAGGGGGUAUUCCUACACUGUGUCGCAGUAUGCCUCCAGCACUGAAUGUAACACCUCACAGAGAGAAGAGGAACUCAAUUCAGAUUUGUUACAUAUAAGAUUAAAAACCAAUGGCCAAGGUAGGAACCCAUAGAUUUCACUAGAGUCUUCAAUGUGUCCUCACUUUCUUGUGACUGUGAUUGGAAAAAAGAGAUUUGUUUUGCCUCAUUGUUUCAGAGGCUCAUGCUAGCUCGUUCCAUUAUGUCUGGGCCUCUGGUGAAGCAGAGUCUCAAUGCAGAGGGAAUGAAAGAGGGUAAGAAGCUAAUGACGAGAAUACAAUAUACCUACAAAGGCAUGUGCCUUGGGGCCCCAUCCCUAACUAGUCCCCACCUCUCAGCUGGGAGCUCAUUGACAGGGUUAGUAUCCUCAUGAGCCAAUCAGCUCUCAAUUAUCUCAAGUAUCACCAACUGGGAACCAAUCCUGCAACAGAAGAGUCUUUUAGGAAGAUACAUCUUUUUUUUUUUUUUUUUUUGAACCUUAGCAGACUUCAUCUGAAAAGUUAAGAGCUAUUUUGGGAGGAUAACAUGACCCAGGAGAGUCAGGAUGGAUGGACUUGUAGAAAAGCCAGAGAGAUUCCAGGGUUUUUUUUGAGGCUUUGGUCACAAGUCAGUCACAGAAAGCAAACUUCCCUUGCUUCAUGCUUCUGCCUUCUCCUCCUGGCAUUUUUGUUGCAGUUGUUUAUUGUUUAGAUUGCAAAUUACUUACAUUUCUUCUCUCUCUUUCUUCUCUCCAACCCCUCCUACAAACCCCUCCCCAUUCUCUUCAAAUUCAUCGUCUCUUUUUUAAAUUAAUUGUUAUUAUAUGUAUUUAUCUAUAUGUGUGUAUACAUAAUACAUAUACAUAUUUAUGUAUAUGUGUGUAUACAUACACAUACAUAUAUACACAUACAUAUAUAUACAUACAUAUAUGUGUGUGUGUGUAUAUAUAUAUAUAUAUAUAUAUAUAUAUAUAUAUACUUAAAUAUAACCUGUGGAGUCUAUAUAAGGUUACUUAUAUGUGUGUUUUUUUAGAGCUGACCAUUUGGCACUGGCCAACCUAUUGCUGUGCUCUCUUUUUACUCAAUUGCCUGUAGCUCUCUGUAUAAAGUGGAAGACUCAUGGACUUUUCUCUGUCUGAUUUGAUGUGUUCCUUGGUGUCAUUAUUGUUCAGCUCACAGUUAGGCAACCUGACACUGGGCAUUCAGGUUGGUGACAUGUGCCGUUAUAGCUCCUGAUGCUACAGAGGAGGCACAAUCUCACUGCCAACUCCUUGAUCCUCUGGCUCUUAUUAUUUGUGCGCUCUUCUUCCUUGCUGAACCUUAGGUGCGGGCGAAUUUUGUAGAAGUGUCCAUUGAGUUCUUCUUGAACCACUUUUGGAAUUAAUCAUGACUAUGAAGAGAUUGUGGAAUCAAAUUUUAACAGAUAACUGCAAAAUGAAAUGAGUUUUUAAAGAAGUGGCAUGAAAUUGGAUAUGUCUGUGAUUUACUACUAGCCAAGCACCAUUAAAAGCUGGCUUAUCUUGCUUCAUUUUAUUUUUUGCAAGCCAUGUUCAAUGUUUUGCCAUUACCCACAAUGUACGGGCAAAGAAACUAAAGGGCAGUAGACUAAAUAAUCACAGUUCUUGGCUUCUCCAGUUUUAUUUUAGUAUCUUACAUUUUCAGUUUUCUUUUGUGGCUGUAAAAUGGGGCAUAACUAAAGAGACCACAGUCAUAGCAGAGUGAGUCCAAGGAAAGGGUCCUGGCUUCAGUCCCAGAUUCCCAGCUCACCCCUCUGUGUCUUAGUGUCUGGCACAACUUUUCACCUUUUCUUUUCUGUUUUUGUUUUUGUUUUUGUUUUUGUUUUUGUUCUUUGUUAUUGUUUUGUUUUAUGCCAAGGCAGUCCCUGGUAUCACUGGCCUCUGAGACACUGUGGAGGAAGCUCCAGCUUCUUAAGCAGUUUCCUAAGAAUUUCAGAAAUGCUGGUAACUUUCUCCCCGACUGGUCAAAAGAUAAAACACACACAGAGAUUGGGAGUCUGGGAAUGUGAGAUAGAAACUUAACUUUGCUGGUCAUCCCUCUUGUAUGCUUGAAAGCAUUUCAAUCUUGAAUGUUUCAACCAAGGGGGAAAAGCUAGUCUUAUUCCAACAAGAUAGCUUUCACGUUGGUUAUACUUAAGUUAAUGAGGGGACUAGCUGCCUGGUAGAAAAACAAGAGAGAAAGCAGACUGGGAAGGUUUAUUGGAUAAACACCAGAUACUAAACUCCCUGGAAGGAACACUUCACAGAAGACUUGGAAGUGCGUCAGGAAAAUAAAUUGCAAAAGAUAACACAGGUGGACCUCUACAGAGAUUUUGAAACAAGUCUCCCUCCCUUUGAGCAAGCAGAUCUUCAGUGCAUGGUCCAAUGCUUGAAAUCGGCCCAAAGGAAAUGCUUGGUUGUUCCCUCCGGUACCAAAUUCCACUCUUUUUCUUCUUCUUCUUUGUUUUUUAUUGAAUGUUGUCCCCCUUCCCAGUCACCCCUCCACAAACCCCCAUCCCACCCCACCCCCAGCCCUUUGCCUCUAAGCCCAUCCACCCACUCCUGCGUCACCCGUUAGCAUCCUCCUUCACUGGGGCAUCAGAGCCUCCACAGAGCAAUUCGCCUCCCCUCCCAUUGAUGCCAGCUAAGGCAAUCCUCUGCUACGUAUGCAGCGGUGGUUUAGUCCCUGGGAGUUCUGAGGGGUCCAGUUAGUUAAUAUUGUUUUUCCACUCUUAAUGACAAUCCUGUUUUCUGCUUUGAAAUCUCUAUGUGCCAAAGUUAUUUCUCGUUAUCUUUCAGAGGUGUUGGACAGGGCAGCAAAAACCUGGCAAGUGUCAGAGCUCAAAAUUGUGUUUGGACAAGAGAAUCUCGCUGUGCAACUCAGAGUGGCUCAAAUUCUUAUGAAGCCCAGGCUGACUUUGAGCUCAGCUUCCUGAGUACUGAGGUUACAGACAUGUACCACCACACCCAGAUUCAGUAAAAAAACAAAUAAAUAAAAUCUAAUCAUCAGGCAUAACCAAUGGGGGAACUUACCCUCUUGCAGGCCUUUUGCUUCCCUCUGAUUGACUCAUUUAAUUUCUUUAUAGGAACACAGCUCCAGCCCCUGGAAUGGCAACAGCAUUUACUCAGGAGUUAUUCACAGGACUCAGUGUACUCAGUUGAGUGUCUUCUUUAAGGAAUGGAGCAGUGUAAAGAGCAGGAAGGACGAUGAGAAGACAGGAAGAAAGUGUGCAGUUCAUCUCUCAUGGCUGUGAGCCACCAUGUGGUUGCUGGGAUUUGAACUC
This is a long non-coding RNA of Mus musculus (house mouse), 4372 nucleotides long. RefSeq annotates it as predicted gene, 30760. The transcript is spliced from 3 exons. The record is from RefSeq and is a predicted model, not a curated record. Lineage: Eukaryota; Metazoa; Chordata; Mammalia; Rodentia; Muridae.